Molecule: long non-coding RNA, 632 nt
Organism: Tripterygium wilfordii
Lineage: Eukaryota; Viridiplantae; Streptophyta; Magnoliopsida; Celastrales; Celastraceae
Exons: 2
Source: RefSeq, a predicted model, not a curated record
UACGGCGCACACUUGUUGAAAAAAAUAAAUAAAUAGGAAUAACAAUAAAAAUUUGUAUAAACCACAGUUUUCUUCUUCUUCUUCCUUCUUCACCCGAAUCUGCCAAAAAUCAUAAUUUCGUCUAGCUAGCGGCUGGAGUGAUCACCGGAGAUGUCUGGAGUUGUCAGAACUUAGACGGAGGAGUAGAACAAGAGCUAUGUAACUUUCCCUCUCCACUCCUUUUUCUCUCUACAACCACGUACAGGUUGUUAAUGGUGGUUUGUGUGAAUAUCACUUAACGGGCCACGGGAUAGCACCAGUGUGAACUGUGGCCCUAGAAACAGGUCCUUACCCUCCAUUACCGGGAAGGGGACUGAAGUUGACCGGGAAGUGGUAUAAAGCCACACGGGCAACCUCCUGGGAGAUCGCUGGCCAGAGGGGAAUUUUCCCACACUUGGGACGAAGGGUCUAUCACAUGAAUUCAUAUCAGGCAAGUACGAAGAUGGCGGCAAGUUUUCGAGGCGUGCGCGGUUUCUCAUGGAUACAGUUGUGGUUUAUGGGUAGCGUAUGGUUUGAUUAUUAAGACUUUCGCUUUGUUAAAUUUUAAAGACUUAUUAAUUAUGUCUUAAUGAAUUUCUAAAUCCAUUUUAUUC